CGGCUGCCAGACAGUGGGGGACUUUGAGUUGCAGAUUAUUGCAGACUAAGCAGUCUGGCUCUGCAGCAGCAGCACAAGCCGAGGCGCUGGGAAGCCGGCCAGCCAGCCUCAGAAUUAGCUCAUUAAUACACGGGCACUGAGGAGAGGCGGGCUGCCGAGCCCUCUCCUCAGUGCUUCACCUCUUCUUCCUAGAAGCCCCAGCAUGCAGCCCGUGCGGCCACCUCGCUGCUAAGUAUGUAGAAGUGAGGACUGAGCUGCUGAGCCGUCUGCCUAUUGUUCUUCUUGUGGUAAUGGCCACGAUGCCACCUCCACACCGCUGCCAGGUUGUCAGCGUGAUAUACCAUCCGCACUUAGCAAUCUGUGGCACUGGUGACCCAUGUGAAACCAUACUGAUAGAUGGAAGAUUUCCCAAUGGGACCCUCCAUCUACCUAGAAUGGUCAACCACAAGGAGAACAAUGAGGCAGACGGACUCCUGGCUCCAGAAAAUGGUUGCAGACAUCACGUCACUGAAAUUAAUUACCUCUUCCUUUUUUAAUUGUAUCUCUUCCAUGUGUAGUGCAUUUGUUUUUUGAUUGUUGACACACCCAUGAUGUCAUAUAUUGGGAACUGUGUAUAUCAUCAAGUGUAAGCAUAUAUGGGACUCUGAGCCUUGCUUUAGAGAAUUACCACAAAGUUGUACCAUAACUCAAUUUUUUACAGUCUAGGUCGGGUGAAGCUCUUCACACUGUGAAUCCAUGUUUACACCCAGUACAGGUGGGCCUUGUGGCCUGUUUCUACCACAGCAAUGUCUUCCUCUUCUCACGCUCCUCUGUUCACAAUAUGCCGGUAACUUACAGCCUUCACUUUCAGUACCAGUUUGAUGCUUUUUUUCCACCUGUUGAUUACUCUCAGUUGUGGCAGCCAUUUAGCGAGCUGAAGUAAUAUUAGUAACCUAUGAAUUUACUAAGAACUAUGUGAUGUACAUGUUGUCAGGUACUCGAUACCUCCAUGUUGUUAGUCCGUAGUAAAGUGAUAGGCCGUAUUCUCAUGAAAACUAGUUGAGCUCAAGAAAUGUCUGCCACCAGUGUGUGUAAGCGACGGAUGCAGUUUGACACUUAACUAUCCUCUCUGAGGCUAAGAGUCCCCCUUAUAUCAUGUAUUCCUUUCACUUAGAUGUAGCAUACUCGCUUCCUUUCUUUUCAUCCAUUGUCUGUAUAUCUCUAUUUUAUCCAUGUACACUUUUAAUGUAUAGAAAUAGUUGUUUGAAACACAUUGUUUCCUUGUGGUAAGUGACAGAGAAGCUGCCACAGGAUCUGAGACACUGAUGAAUGGUGCUAUUUUGGACUUUUAAACAUGCUCCUUGGUAAGGUAGCUCUGAUGGGAGUUUUAUUUUUCAUGUUCUAAGAAGGUGUUGGUAUUUUUUCCUGAUUGUUGUUCUAUAGGCGGAACUGACUCUUUCUUGUCUUCAGUGUAGUUUUACUAGGGCAAAUAACUGCUAAGCGGGCGAGUCAGGCAAGUAAUCUUCUUCUUUUUUUUCUCUACUUUUUUUUUUUUUUUUUUUUUACAAUUCAGGGUAGAUUCGCCAACAUACAGCUAUUCUAGUGGGAGCAAUCACAAAACUGUAAUUUACUAAUCUCGAUAAUCCAAACCCCCUGUCCCUACAUUUGAAAAAAAUAAAAUAAAUUAUAUAUAUAUAUAUAUAUAUAUAUAUAUAUAUUUUAUAUUUAUACAGCAAUAAUGUUUCACUAAUCCGAUACAAAUCUUUCAUUUUCUUCUGUUUUAGAAGGAGUGUGUAUGAAAAAGGGCAUGUUUCUGUAAAUGUCCUGGGGUCUGUGGCAGGUAUUAAUUUUAGGGAUGAGGCAGCUAAUAAUUUUGCAUCUUUCCUUUUUUUUUUUUUUUUUUUUUUUUGUUGCAAACUUAAAAAAAAAAAAAAAAACUACAGUUAUUUUUUAUUUUUAUUUUUUUCAUUUUACACUUUUGUUCUUGCUCUCAGUGGCAAAUAAAGUAACCUACUCUUGAAAUGCUGUUGUGUGAGACAGUCUGGAAGCCCACCUUAAUAACACUUUUUAUUGUUUGUUUUUUCGUUUAGUAAAUCUAUCAGUCUUUAGCUCUUCCUCCACAGUACAGAUUACGCUCUGAACGGUUUUAGCUUUUGACUGUUACUAGGAAAUGCAUGCUUAGCCUAUGAUUUUCCUAAUCUUGUAUUUUUUUUUCUUCCUCUGCUUUGAGUGCCCUGUUGUAUGAGUAGAAGAUAUCAGCUGUGCUGUAUAUAAUAGAGCAAUUUAAUCAAUAUUAAGCAGUCGUGGCAUAUAUGUAUGGUUGCAGUUGUGUAUUGAUAAAAAGGCAAGCUUUUGUAAUAAUGUGAUCUAAUAAUGCACUUCAAGUACCCAAUGUAUUUUAACAAUUUUAGUAGAAUUUGUUGAAUAAACAUGCAAGCUCUAACUGU
Molecule: long non-coding RNA, 2426 nt
Organism: Bufo gargarizans (Asiatic toad)
Lineage: Eukaryota; Metazoa; Chordata; Amphibia; Anura; Bufonidae
Exons: 4
Source: RefSeq, a predicted model, not a curated record